Molecule: ribosomal RNA, 253 nt
Filed under: uncultured bacterium
Lineage: Bacteria
Description: partial 16S ribosomal RNA
Rfam family: Bacterial small subunit ribosomal RNA
Source: RNAcentral
UACGGAGGGUGCGAGCGUUGUCCGGAUUUAUUGGGUUUAAAGGGUGCGUAGGUGGCUGUUUAAGUCAGUGGUGAAAUACAGCCGCUCAACGGUUGAGGUGCCAUUGAUACUGAAUAGCUUGAAAUAAUUGGAGGCUGCCGGAAUGGAUGGUGUAGCGGUGAAAUGCAUAGAUAUCAUCCAGAACACCGAUUGCGAAGGCAGGUGGCUACGCUUUAUUUGACACUGAGGCACGAAAGCAUGGGGAGCAAACAGG